Molecule: long non-coding RNA, 334 nt
Organism: Sciurus carolinensis (gray squirrel)
Lineage: Eukaryota; Metazoa; Chordata; Mammalia; Rodentia; Sciuridae
Exons: 3
Source: RefSeq, a predicted model, not a curated record
UGGACAUUACUGCUUUCUUUCUCUCCUGGAAAGGGCCUUGGGUCAGGGGCAGGACAUAAGGGCUACCAGUGGACUCAAAUGCAGGAUGCUGUCAGAUAUCCAGGUUGGAGUGUGGGCUCUGAGGACAGAGUCCUGAGCUGGUGUUGAAGGUUUUGCCUUCUCCUUGCCCGUGAGCCAAUACUACUCCCUUCUUGCUGCCUGGGAAGUGCUAGCCAGAGUCUCUGCUUCCCACGCUUCUCUGUGAGGAGGAAACUUGGGCCUAGAGCUUAUAAAGGACAGCAAUUCCCGCUGCUUGGAACAGAGAGGUUCGCCGUUAUAACAGGUCGGCAGGUCC